CACGUAGGGCGCAAGCGUUGUCCGGAAUUAUUGGGCGUAAAGAGCUCGUAGGCGGUUCGGUAAGUCGGGUGUGAAACCUCCAGGCUCAACCUGGAGAGGCCACCUGAUACUGCUGUGACUCGAGUCCGGUAGGGGAGCGUGGAAUUCCUGGUGUAGCGGUGAAAUGCGCAGAUAUCAGGAGGAACACCAGCGGCGAAGGCGGCGCUCUGGGCCGGAACUGACGCUGAGGAGCGAAAGCGUGGGUAGCAAACAGG
This 254-nucleotide ribosomal RNA is filed under the name uncultured bacterium. RNAcentral describes it as "partial 16S ribosomal RNA". It matches the Rfam family "Bacterial small subunit ribosomal RNA", at positions 524 to 776 of the family's 1533-position model. The record is from RNAcentral.